This 701-nucleotide ribosomal RNA is filed under the name Rhodococcus sp. (in: high G+C Gram-positive bacteria). RNAcentral describes it as "bacterial SSU rRNA". It matches the Rfam family "Bacterial small subunit ribosomal RNA", at positions 55 to 774 of the family's 1533-position model. Lineage: Bacteria; Bacillati; Actinomycetota; Actinomycetes; Mycobacteriales; Nocardiaceae. The record is from RNAcentral.
AUGCAGUCGAGCGGUAAGGCCUUUCGGGGUACACGAGCGGCGAACGGGUGAGUAACACGUGGGUGAUCUGCCCUGCACUUCGGGAUAAGCCUGGGAAACUGGGUCUAAUACCGGAUAUGACCUCCUAUCGCAUGGUGGGUGGUGGAAAGAUUUAUCGGUGCAGGAUGGGCCCGCGGCCUAUCAGCUUGUUGGUGGGGUAAUGGCCUACCAAGGCGACGACGGGUAGCCGACCUGAGAGGGUGACCGGCCACACUGGGACUGAGACACGGCCCAGACUCCUACGGGAGGCAGCAGUGGGGAAUAUUGCACAAUGGGCGAAAGCCUGAUGCAGCGACGCCGCGUGAGGGAUGACGGCCUUCGGGUUGUAAACCUCUUUCAGCAGGGACGAAGCGCAAGUGACGGUACCUGCAGAAGAAGCACCGGCUAACUACGUGCCAGCAGCCGCGGUAAUACGUAGGGUGCAAGCGUUGUCCGGAAUUACUGGGCGUAAAGAGUUCGUAGGCGGUUUGUCGCGUCGUUUGUGAAAACCAGCAGCUCAACUGCUGGCUUGCAGGCGAUACGGGCAGACUUGAGUACUGCAGGGGAGACUGGAAUUCCUGGUGUAGCGGUGAAAUGCGCAGAUAUCAGGAGGAACACCGGUGGCGAAGGCGGGUCUCUGGGCAGUAACUGACGCUGAGGAACGAAAGCGUGGGUAGCGAACA